UACGGAGGGGGCUAGCGUUGUUCGGAAUUACUGGGCGUAAAGCGCACGUAGGCGGCUUGUUAAGUCAGGGGUGAAAUCCUGGAGCUCAACUCCAGAACUGCCUUUGAUACUGGCGAGCUUGAGUUCGGGAGAGGUGAGUGGAACUGCGAGUGUAGAGGUGAAAUUCGUAGAUAUCAGGAGGAACACCGGUGGCGAAGGCGGCUCUCUGGACGGUGACUGACGCUGAGACGCGAAAGCGUGGGGAGCGAACAGG
This 253-nucleotide ribosomal RNA is filed under the name uncultured bacterium. Its description in RNAcentral is "partial 16S ribosomal RNA". It matches the Rfam family "Bacterial small subunit ribosomal RNA", at positions 524 to 776 of the family's 1533-position model. The record is from RNAcentral.